AUCACUUCUCGGCCUUUUGGCUAAGAUCAAGUGUAGAAAUGUAGGGGGAGAGAAGGGGAAUGUACUGGAAGAUAGUCUCUCCCCAGUUUUUUUUUUAAUUUUUUUAAUUUCCCCAAUACAUUAU
RNAcentral lists this small nuclear RNA (124 nucleotides) under Sus scrofa (pig). RNAcentral's name for it is "U2 spliceosomal RNA (multiple genes)". It matches the Rfam family "U2 spliceosomal RNA". From Rfam's summary of the family: U2 is a small nuclear RNA (snRNA) component of the spliceosome (involved in pre-mRNA splicing). The record is from RNAcentral. Lineage: Eukaryota; Metazoa; Chordata; Mammalia; Artiodactyla; Suidae.